Molecule: long non-coding RNA, 4341 nt
Filed under: Malus domestica (apple)
Lineage: Eukaryota; Viridiplantae; Streptophyta; Magnoliopsida; Rosales; Rosaceae
Description: long non-coding RNA (MDOM_LNC009341)
Source: RNAcentral
UUAAUCAUUUAUUUAUGGCAAGGAUUAAUUAAUAUGUUAAUUAAUCAAACGAAUAAGUUCGUUAAAGACCUUGGGAUAGUUUUGGACCUUAAGGAUGGGCUUCGAACGUCAAGCCCAUUAACUUAAGUUGUGUGACAACUUAAUGAAUAAUGAUUCACAAAGGCCCAAUUAGUCCAAAAUAUCCUAAUGGCCGGCCAUAUUGUUUAGGGUAGUGAACUUGGACUUAUUUACAAGUUUGCCACUCAAAUCAAUAAAGGUAUAAUAUGACUUUAUAGCUAAAAUUCAAUAAGGGUUUGUUUUGGAGAAAAUUGGUGAGAACUUGUCUCUCCAUUUCUCUCUAAAGAGGCCGGCCACCUUGGGGGGUGCAUCUUGCAAUCCCACUACUCCAAGGUCACUCAUUUCUUUUCCAAUCUCUCCUUGGUGAAGAGACUUAGAGGUUCUCAAUUUUGAGAACUUGGAGAAACCUAUUCUUCCAUCCAAAUCCAUAGAUUUAAGAUGCAAGGAAUGAAGGCCCUCUCUUUGGGUGAUUAGCCUUUGCUUAUGCAAAGAGGAAUCUACAAAGGUAUAAAUUUCAACUCACUUUGUUUUGAGUUGAGUUUUGGUUCACCAAUCUACUAGGCUUUGAAUUUCAUGGUUAAAGUUUUGUUUUUAAGUGCAUGCAAGCAUGAUUCCACCUUUAAUUGUUAAUUGCAUGCUUAUUGAUGUUGCUUAAAUGAACAUGUUAUCACAAAAUCUUCCUUCAGUUUGGACAUAGAAAACUCACGGGAAAACUUAUCCAGUUUUCCGGCAAGACAGCGAUUUUGCGGCCAUUUUCUGGCCAACUUCGACCACCACUCGGUCCCAACUUGGUAUGAAUAUCUUAUUCUCAUGUUAAGCUUCAUUUUGGUAUUUGAAACAUAAAAAAUGGUUGAGAAAUGAGCUUGAACGGAGCUCAGGAAAUUUGCCUAGAAACAGGCAAAAUCUCAGGCCUUGUGAGGAAGGCAAGUAAUCUUUACUCGCAGGUGCGUGGGGCUGCUCGUGGUGCAGCAGUGGCCGGCAUAUGGAGUACACGUGCCUCUCCGGAGGUACUGGCCAACUUUCUGGUGACUUAACUCGACUCAUAGUGGUGCGUGCGGUAGCGCGUGGGGGAAACCUGAGGUCCCCCCCUUAGGUUUUUCAACAUCCUGAAUCCGAUUACGAUCAUCUUUUUAGGGUUUACUAAAUUGUCUUCUUUUGUGCUUAGGUGUGUUGUUUGAGGUGACCCUAUCCUCCCUAUUGUUGAACGGCAUGUUGGUAACGAAGUAUCUAUGAGUGAACCCCUUCCAAAAAUGCAUAAUUUAAUUACUAGAAAUACAUACAUGAAAAACAUGAUUUUAUGACCACGUUUUAUGAAACUUUUAUGAGUUAUCGGAUUUACGCUUUAUGAAAUAUCGUGCGUUAUCGAAUUUACAUUAUUGAGAUAUUUAUGAAUAUGAUUUAUGAUAUGAUGUUUGAGCUAUUGAGCUCCGAUGGUAUAUAUUUUGGAAAGAUUUAUGUUCAUGAUUUUCUAUGCCCACUUAGUGGAUAUAUAUAUAUAUAUAUAUAUAUAUGUGUGUGUGUGUGUGUGUGCGUGCUUUCGAGUGGGUGAAGUAGUGCCUUCGGGUGGAAGAUAUAUACGUGGAGUAAAAAAUAAUCAAGAAAAUUAUGAAGGCGACACGUGUCCUUUAGGGUGAAAAGGACAAAAUUACCUUAAAGGCACACUGGGAUUCCUACGUGCAUGAAACUGACAAUAACGGCUCAAUUAAAGAAGAGUCAAAGGUGAUCAAAAUGGUAUCUAUUCAAAACCCUCUCAUCACUCCUCAUCAAAUCCUCACCCACAAGGUAACCCCUAAUUAUUCUUGUCAAAUUGGGAUUAAUUACCAAAUUAAUUGCAAGAUAUUAUUUGAAAUAAUAUCUUGCAAUUAGAGCCAAAAUUCCACCAUAAGUGGCCGGUCCCUAUUUCUCCAAAUAGGGCCAGCCACACCCCUAUAUAUAGCCCCACAUUUCUCCAAAACCUAAGUUCAUUAUCUUCCUAAAAAUUCCCUAAACAUUUUCUCUCUCAAAUUCUAACUUUGGCGUCGGAGAUUCUUCUACAAAAGCUCCCCCUAUUCAUCGUGGGCGUGUGAGGCUCUUGACCUUAAUCUUAGGUGUUAUUAUUUUGUAGGUGCAUUUUUGUCAAAGGAGAAGACGGCGGAAUUUGCAUCCACAAUAUAUAUGCCUUUGAGCAAGGGAUGAGGCAUACGACCCGAGUUACGAGGCAUUCCCAUAUCAGUGAAUUUGUGUCCUCCUCUCUGUGUAAGACAUCUCUUGUAAUCGCACUUUCUAAUAUUCCUUCCGCUUGUAUUUCGAAUUAGUAGUAUAUCUGAACAUGUCAUGCAUUAUCACUUUUUAAUUGUUGACUAUUGAUUAUUAUAUUUUAUUAAGGUUUGUACUUGAAUACCAUAUUGUGUGGUUACACACGAAAUUUUUAUGCAUGUUCCUCAUGUUCUAAACAUGCAUUCCUAAAAUGGCUUGCGUCACCCUUGGGUGUCGGCUAGCAUGUAGCCAUCCUAUUGUUCUUCGGACAUCGAGAUCGAGGCGUGUCAGUGUCCUAACCUACUAUGCCACAAAGUGGAAGUAACUUGUUGUCUAAGAAAAGUAGCCAUGAAUACCUGUGGUUGAAUCAUUGAUGAAGCUGACAAUGGAAUGAGAUACAAUCUAUUACUGCAUAUUCCAUUGAACAAAAUUCUCCCUAUGGCCUUGUCCUGUAUCCCGAAACAAAAUGCAUUGAAUAUUAGCCAACAGUUAUCUAAACAUAUCAUAUAUACAGAAAACAAAUUCUGUGUAAUUCUAGGCACAUGAAGAAUGGAGUUUAAUUUUAAAGGUUUCAUAGGAGUUUGGAGAAUAGAAGAACCAAUAUGAGAUAUUGGUAAACCUGCACCAUUAGCUGUCUAAAUGGUUUCAGUAGACGGGAAGGGUGUUGCCAAAGACAGGUUUUGCAAAUCAGCAGUCAUAUGAUUUAUAGCUCCUAAGUCAGUGAACCACAUUUGUUGAGGUGGUGCAUGUUGGAAAUGUGCCCUAAAACCAAUCAUAUGAUGAUACUUUACGGACAUUUCACAUGUUAAACUAAUCUAGUUUAAUAUCAAGGGCAAAGAUUAUUUUUUGAGCCGUCUCAUAUAAAUGUUAUACGCUUAAACGAUAAGUCUAAGGAAUAUGUGAUUGGGAGAAUGCGAUCUAAAGAAGUUAGAUUCAUGAGACCAUUCUUUCGUAGACACAUCCUAAACGUUCUGGAUCAUAUGAUUGCCAAUUGGGCAUUGACAGUCCGUUAAGAUUAGUACGUGCUGUGUCUUCUCUCAGGGAGAGUGACUAGUCUCGAGUCAUUGGUGUGUGUGACAUCAAGACAAGUACGUAGGUGCUCAAUAGAGAAUGAGUUCACUGAACACGAUCAACGAAGAGUUCUCAUAUUCAUGUCACAUGAGAACUUAUGGUUGGGAUAAUGCAAAGUAGUCAUUUGACCUGAGGCAUCAUAGUUGUCUUGUGGUUAGGUACUUGAUCUUUGAUUAUGUCAAAGUCACCCCAUCUGCGGGUGUCCACGGCAUCGUCGGGGUUAAGCCACUUAGUCAUGGAGGCGAGUGAAUGCGCAACAAGGGAUCUCUAACCUUCAAACUGUUUGAGGGAGAAUACUCUAUGAUAUGAUUAAGAAUCUCUGAUCAGAGUAUGAAUGAGAUUUAGGAAGUCGUUCCAAAUCACAUUCAAGGUAAUCAUAUAAGCACACGAAUCACAUUGGAUAGUAGACAUGAAUAAACUAUCAAACCAAACAAUGUGGUCAAGAGUAUUGUAUUAGAGAAAGACCGUAUUGCAUUUGUAAUCCUAAACUGAAUAGGUUCUCCACCUCUUCUGAUUAGCUUGGGUAACCAUGAUAUGCUGCUAGGUGUCACUCAUGGUUUGUGGAAGCCCUAAACGUGUAUAAUCACUAAAGGGAGAAUUGAAAGUAAGUUUCAAUUCACAAUCGAUUUGAAAUGGUUUUAAUCGCCCACUGCCUCGCUAAAAGGAACCUAAUGGAUCGUACACCGUGUAAGGUGGAGAUUGAAGAAACAAUGGAGAUGAGUAAGAAUAAUUAAAUGGUUUAAUUAUUUAUGGCAAGGAUUAAUUAAUAUGUUAAUUAAUCAAAAGAAUAAGUUCGUUAAAGACCUCGGGAUAGUUUUGGACCUUAAGGCCCAAUAGGCUUCGAACGUCAAGCCCAUUGACUUAAGUUGUAUGACAACUUAAUGAAUAAUGAUUCACAAAGGCCCAAUAAGCCCAAUAAUACCCUAAGGCCGGCCAUUUAGAGGAAGGGUAGUGAACUUGCUUUAAUUACAAGUUUGC